RNAcentral lists this ribosomal RNA (433 nucleotides) under uncultured bacterium. Its description in RNAcentral is "partial 16S ribosomal RNA". It matches the Rfam family "Bacterial small subunit ribosomal RNA", at positions 29 to 507 of the family's 1533-position model. The record is from RNAcentral.
AACGAACGCUGGCGGCAUGCCUAACACAUGCAAGUCGAACGAGACCUUCGGGUCUAGUGGCGCACGGGUGCGUAACGCGUGGGAACCUGCCCUUAGGUUCGGAAUAACUCCCCGAAAGGGGUGCUAAUACCGGAUAAUGUCUUCGGACCAAAGAUUUAUCGCCUUUGGAUGGGCCCGCGUUGGAUUAGCUAGCUGGUAGGGUAAAAGCCUACCAAGGCGACGAUCCAUAGCUGGUCUGAGAGGAUGAUCAGCCACACUGGGACUGAGACACGGCCCAGACUCCUACGGGAGGCAGCAGUGGGGAAUAUUGGACAAUGGGCGAAAGCCUGAUCCAGCAAUGCCGCGUGAGUGAUGAAGGCCUUAGGGUUGUAAAGCUCUUUUACCCGGGAUGAUAAUGACAGUACCGGGAGAAUAAGCGCCGGCUAACUCCGUG